This is a long non-coding RNA of Scophthalmus maximus (turbot), 603 nucleotides long. RefSeq lists it as uncharacterized. NCBI's taxonomy places the organism in Eukaryota, Metazoa, Chordata, Actinopteri, Pleuronectiformes, Scophthalmidae. The transcript has 2 exons. The record is from RefSeq and is a predicted model, not a curated record.
CAUCUGGUGGUAAAGUUGCACACCACAACCAACUGAGCACCGGACAGGAGGGGACACUUUACGGUGGCGCCCCGCUAAUUCCAUUUCCGGUUUCCCGCACCGUUGGAAGUUCAAUGCGAAUGCGAUGUAUUCGGGACCGUUUGCUGCAUCUGUAUUUAAUGCUGCGUUCCAUUACAUCUCGGAACUCGGACCCCAGAAGUCGGAGCUUUUGACCACAUCUCACAGCUUACUACAGUGAAUGGAGUUGACCCAGGUCAUGCGAUCAGAUGUCUUGCAUACAGGAUGACGCCUGAACCAUUUGCUCCAUAUGCUGAGGAAAAGCUUUGAAAAAACUACAACAAUAAGUUGACCUUUGAGCUUAAUUCAUUCUGUUAAGAAUACUUUUUCCAAAGGUCAAUGAUGAAAUUACAUUCUCAAAAUCAUGAUGCUGCAUGGCAAAUCAAUAUGUACAUAAAAAUACAUGAACACGCCAACAUUUGACUGUAUAAACAGUAAAAAGCAGGACUGAGUGAUUUUUUAGUGAGGAACCCAUUGUCUGUUUUAGCAGAAUACAUCGGUUGGUAUUGAGUAAAUGCCAUUUGUAAUAAAUGGGAGAAAACUUAA